AACGAACGCUGGCGGCAUGCCUAACACAUGCAAGUCGAACGAGACCUUCGGGUCUAGUGGCGCACGGAUGCGUAACGCGUGGGAACCUGCCCUUAGGUUCGGAAUAACUCCCCGAAAGGGGUGCUAAUACCGGAUAAUGUCUUCGGACCAAAGAUUUAUCGCCUUUGGAUGGGCCCGCGUUGGAUUAGCUAGUUGGUAGGGUAAAAGCCUACCAAGGCGACGAUCCAUAGCUGGUCUGAGAGGAUGAUCAGCCACACUGGCACUGAGACACGGCCCAGACUCCUACGGGAGGCAGCAGUGGGGAAUAUUGGAAAAUGGGCGAAAGCAUGAUCCAGCAAUGCCGCGUGAGUGAUGAAGGCCUUAGGGUUGUAAAGCUCUUUUACCCGGGAUGAUAAUGACAGUACCGGGAGAAUAAGCUCCGGCUAACUCCGUG
Molecule: ribosomal RNA, 433 nt
Filed under: uncultured bacterium
Lineage: Bacteria
Description: partial 16S ribosomal RNA
Rfam family: Bacterial small subunit ribosomal RNA
Source: RNAcentral